ACUGUAGCUGAUAACCUGAUAUCAACCUGAUACCGUAGUCAUGCUGAGGCCAUUCAUUGUCUUUAUCUUCUGUGGUGAUGUAUGAGACUAUAAAUGACUGUUAUCAAGCUGAUCAGAGUGAAGAGACUGUACAUGUAGGUUCAUUAUCAUUUCAACACAUACUCAAACCACCCACAGGUCGUAUUGGAUGGACCCACAGGUCAUAUUGAAUGGGCCCACAGGUCGUAUUGGAUGGACCCACAGGUCGUAUUGGAUGGACCCACAGGUCAUAUUGAAUGGACCCACAGGUCGUAUUGAAUGGACCCACAGGUUGUAAUGCCCACAGGUUAUAUUGAAUGGGCACACAGGUUGUAAUGAAUGGGCACACAGGUUGUAAUGAAUGGGCACACAGGUUGUAAUGAAUGGACACACAGGUUGUAAUGAAUGGGCCCACAGGUUGUAUUGAAUGGGCCCACAGGUCGUAUUG
This is a long non-coding RNA of Oncorhynchus tshawytscha (Chinook salmon), 466 nucleotides long. NCBI's taxonomy places the organism in Eukaryota, Metazoa, Chordata, Actinopteri, Salmoniformes, Salmonidae. The record is from Ensembl.